This 425-nucleotide ribosomal RNA is filed under the name uncultured bacterium. Its description in RNAcentral is "bacterial SSU rRNA". It matches the Rfam family "Bacterial small subunit ribosomal RNA", at positions 359 to 776 of the family's 1533-position model. The record is from RNAcentral.
GAAUCUUGGGCAAUGGGCGAAAGCCUGACCCAGCCACGCCGCGUGUGUGAAGAAGGCCUUCGGGUUGUAAAGCACUUUCAGUGGUGAAGAAAAGCUUGGGGCUAAUAUCCCCGAGUUUUGACGUUAGCCACAGAAGAAGCACAGGCUAACUCCGUGCCAGCAGCCGCGGCAAUACGGAGGGUGCGAACGUUAAUCGGAAUUACUGGGCGUAAAGCGCACGUAGGCGGGUCGUUAAGUGGGAUGUGAAAGCCCUGGGCUCAACCUGGGAAUUGCGUUUCAGACUGGCGGACUAGAGUACGGUAGAGGGGGGUGGAAUUCCCUGUGUAGCGGUGAAAUGCGUAGAUAUAGGGAGGAACAUCAGUGGCGAAGGCGGCCCCCUGGACUGAUACUGACGCUGAGGUGCGAAAGCGUGGGGAGCAAACAGG